This is a non-coding RNA of Podarcis lilfordi (Lilford's wall lizard), 78 nucleotides long. The record is from the annotation of a GenBank genome assembly. NCBI's taxonomy places the organism in Eukaryota, Metazoa, Chordata, Lepidosauria, Squamata, Lacertidae.
UUGGAGGGAUAGCUCAAUCGGUAGAGCAUAAGGCUCUUAAUCUCAGGGUUGUGGGUUUGAGCCCCACAUUGGGCAAAA